GAUGAACGCUGACGGCGUGCCUAAUACAUGCAAGUCGAGCGAACGGACGAGAAGCUUGCUUCUCUGAUGUUAGCGGCGGACGGGUGAGUAACACGUGGAUAACCUACCUAUAAGACUGGGAUAACUUCGGGAAACCGGAGCUAAUACCGGAUAAUAUUUUGAACCGCAUGGUUCAAAAGUGAAAGACGGUCUUGCUGUCACUUAUAGAUGGAUCCGCGCUGCAUUAGCUAGUUGGUAAGGUAACGGCUUACCAAGGCAACGAUGCAUAGCCGACCUGAGAGGGUGAUAGGCCACACUGGAACUGAGACACGGUCCAGACUCCUACGGGAGGCAGCAGUAGGGAAUCUUCCGCAAUGGGCGAAAGCCUGACGGAGCAACGCCGCGUGAGUGAUGAAGGUCUUCGGAUCGUAAAACUCUGUUAUUAGGGAAGAACAUAUGUGUAAGUAACUGUGCACAUCUUGACGGUACCUAAUCAGAAAGCCACGGCUAACUACGUG
This 497-nucleotide ribosomal RNA is filed under the name uncultured bacterium. RNAcentral's name for it is "partial 16S ribosomal RNA". It matches the Rfam family "Bacterial small subunit ribosomal RNA", at positions 28 to 507 of the family's 1533-position model. The record is from RNAcentral.